Molecule: RNase P RNA, 438 nt
Filed under: Chitinophagaceae bacterium
Lineage: Bacteria; Pseudomonadati; Bacteroidota; Chitinophagia; Chitinophagales; Chitinophagaceae
Description: RNase P RNA component class A
Rfam family: Bacterial RNase P class A
About the family: Ribonuclease P (RNase P) is a ubiquitous endoribonuclease, found in archaea, bacteria and eukarya as well as chloroplasts and mitochondria. Its best characterised activity is the generation of mature 5'-ends of tRNAs by cleaving the 5'-leader elements of precursor-tRNAs.
Source: RNAcentral
AUUACAGGCCGGACUAUCGCACUUCCGCAAGGGAGGGAGGAAAGUCCGGACAGCACAGAGUAUUGCACCGGUGAAGAGCCGGGUCCGGAACCGUAGCAAUACGGGACCCCGGAACAGACAGUGCCACAGAGAAUAGCUACUUUAUCGGCCGGGGCUUCAGCGCGGGAGGGCAGCGACCGGAAUACAUCCGGUCCCAGGCCCGCUUCUGCUGAAGCUCCGGUGGACAAAGCAAAGGUGAAAACGUGAGGUAAGAGCUCACGGCUUUUUAUGGUAACAUAGAUCGCGGGUAAACCUUGCAUGCUGAAAUGCCACAUAUACCAUCGCCUGAGGGUUACUCGCCCGAUGAUGGAGGGUAGGCAGAUUGAUCCGGCAGGGUAACCUGACGGACAGAUAAAUGAUAGUCCACGACAGAAUCCGGCUUACAGGCCUGUAAUAUUU